Molecule: long non-coding RNA, 1066 nt
Organism: Sycon ciliatum
Lineage: Eukaryota; Metazoa; Porifera; Calcarea; Leucosolenida; Sycettidae
Exons: 3
Source: RefSeq, a predicted model, not a curated record
AUACGCAUAGCAACGAUCCCACUGGGGACAAACAAAAGUAGCGUCGUCUCCAUCGAACCAGUUGUCAGUGGCAACAUAUAGGAAUCGUGUACAUUUCUUCGUUUCUUCUUUGCUGUUUUCAGUGAGUGUUUUGUUUUCUCUUUGUCCUUGAUCUCGACGGUGUUGUGGUGCUCAUUACCUUACUGAGACGUCUCCUGUGACUGAAGCCAGUGUCACGGAGGAUUUUAUUGGCGUGGCGAGGUAGAUCGCCGAGAUCGAGCGUGAAAAACGCUCUGCAUUAGUAGCUCCUGUAGAAUGUCUUCUGGGAUGGCGUAUCCAUGGUCAACAAAGCCAAGGUGCAAGACAGCAUAAGAGGUCGUGUAAACGAUGUGAACUCCAAAAGAUAAUCUGGACAAAUAAAUUAUAAUUAUUGUAAUUGGAGCUCCGGAGAGUGCAAUCGUGCUUGGGACCCAUCCCAAUGUCAUCACAUGGCUGUGGUGACUAGUGUAUACCUGGGAGAGUUUUCCUCAACUGAGAUGGAGUGUAGGUGGAUGGAUUAUGAGAAAUGCGAAGAUCAUGAGUUCAAGGCUAGAUGCACUUCACAUUCGGCGUGCGAUCUCGGCGUCUGGGACCUGAUAACGUCUUGGUUGGAUGGGUAAUCAAGGAUGAUACUACUCGGCACACCAAUGUACAUGUCAAUGUAUUUUUUACUUUUUCAGAGCUGCACUAUUUACGGACGAUUGUGGCUGUUAGAGAGGAAAUAAAUUAAUAGUAUUCACAAACAAGUCCCACUUAUUGUUUCUGUUCGUAAAAGGAAAUUGCAAUUUUUUGGUCAUAUUGUUCGUUCCGGCUGUUUGUCAUUGACUGUUCUUCAGUGUUGUGUUGCUGGAGGCCGUGGCCGAGGCAGGCCCAGAAUGUCAUGGCUUGAUAAUAUUAUUUCAUGGACUGCACUUGACGUGCAGUCCCUGCUCGCUGCUGCACGCGAUCGAUUUUUAUGGCGCUCGCUUGUUCAUACUUGCUCUGUGACGCCCCGACGGCCUUAGGGCUAUGGGCUUGUGAUGACGACUAUUUACGUCUUGAUGCUUAA